This 1152-nucleotide unclassified non-coding RNA is filed under the name Hevea brasiliensis (rubber tree). Lineage: Eukaryota; Viridiplantae; Streptophyta; Magnoliopsida; Malpighiales; Euphorbiaceae. The record is from RNAcentral.
CAACAGAUUUUACAAAAAAGUUUGUCAAGCAAUACUCACAGAACAAUCGACCAUGGCCGGAGAUGGCACUGAGAAGGCAACAGUAAUAGAGGGAAAGGAAUGGUACAUGGCAGCCUAUGCACCUCAGGGUGUUCCAAGCUCCGAUCACCUCAAACUCCGGACUGUAACCAUAUCACUAGCAGAUGAUUCAAUUCCAGAUGGUCACGUGGCUGUUGAGUUGCUGUGGAUCUCCGUUGAUCCUUAUCUACGUUCUAGAAUGACAGGCCACCAGGACGGACUUUACAUGCCCCAGUUCAAAAUCGACGAGGUGUUGGUGGCAUUUGGGGUUGGAAGGGUAAUAAAGUCAAAGGACAGCAGAUACAGUGAAGGGGAUAUAGUGCUUAAUCCUUAUUUUCCAAUUGCUGAGUACUGUGUGAUGCCAUCAGAUUCCUUAAUAAGAAAGAUUGAUGUUACAGCAGGAAUAGCAAUCCCUGAUUACCUCAAUGCUUUAGGGGCACCUGGAUUUGCAGCAUGGGUGGGGAUAGUGGUGUUAGGAGAGGCAAAGCCAGGUUUGAAUGUGUUUGUCUCAGCAGCCGCAGGAGGCGUUGGUAUGUUUGCCGGUCAGUUGGCCAAGCUCAGGGGUUGCCGGGUUAUUGGCAGCACAGGAUCUGAUGAUAAGGUAAAGCUUUUAAAGGAAGCAUUUGGAUACGACGACGCUUUCAACUACAAAAGGGAAACAGAUUAUGAUGCUGCUUUAAGCAAGUACUUCCCUAAUGGUAUCGAUGUCUACCUUGACAAUGUUGGUGGUAAAAUGCUGGAGGCUGUCCUUAAUCACAUCAAUAUUGGUGGUCGGAUCCCUCUCUGUGGAAUGAUAUCUGAAUAUAACAAGACAUGGAAAGAAAGAGAUGGUGUGAGAAAUCUUUUGAAUCUAGUUGGUAAAAAUGUGAGGAUGGAAGGGUUUUUGGUGGGUUCAUAUUUAAAUCGUUUUCAAGAUUUUUUGAAGGAGAUGGAGGACUAUCUACUUCAAGGAAAAAUUAUCUCCAAGACAAAGACAUACAAUGGAAUUGAUAGCUUUCUAGAGAGCUUGGGAUCUCUUUUUUCAAGCACUAAUAAUGGAAAAGUUGUCAUUCAAGUCAAAGAGUGAAUGAUAUAUAUACGAAAUUCUUGUCUAAG